RNAcentral lists this ribosomal RNA (400 nucleotides) under uncultured bacterium. RNAcentral's name for it is "bacterial SSU rRNA". It matches the Rfam family "Bacterial small subunit ribosomal RNA", at positions 355 to 770 of the family's 1533-position model. The record is from RNAcentral.
UGGGGGAUAUUGCACAAUGGGGGAAACCCUGAUGCAGCAACGCCGCGUGAGUGAUGAAUGCCUUCGGGUAGUAAAACUCUGUCCUAGGGGAAGAAAACAAUGACGGUACCCUUGGAGGAAGCCCCGGCUAACUACGUGCCAGCAGCCGCGGUAAUACGUAGGGGGCGAGCGUUAUCCGGAAUUAUUGGGCGUAAAGAGUUCGUAGGCGGUUAUGUAAGCUAAAGGUUAAAGGCUAUGGCUCAACCAUAGUUAGCCCUUAGAACUGUGUAACUUGAGUGCAGGAGAGGAAAGUGGAAUUCCUAGUGUAGCGGUGAAAUGCGUAGAUAUUAGGAGGAACACCAGUGGCGAAGGCGACUUUCUGGACUGUAACUGACGCUGAGGAACGAAAGCGUGGGUAGCG